GAUGAACGCUGGCGGCGUGCCUAAUACAUGCAAGUCGAGCGAACAGACGAGGAGCUUGCUCCUCUGACGUUAGCGGCGGACGGGUGAGGAACACGUGGAUAACCUACCUAUAAGACUGGGAUAACUUCGGGAAACCGGAGCUAAUACCGGAUAAUAUAUUGAACCGCAUGGUUCAAUAGUGAAAUACGGUUUUUCUGUCACUUAUAGAUGGAUCCGCGCCGCAUUAGCUAGUUGGUAAGGUAACGGCUUACCAAGGCGACGAUGCGUAGCCGACCUGAGAGGGUGAUCGGCCACACUGGAACUGAGACACGGUCCAGACUCCUACGGGAGGCAGCAGUAGGGAAUCUUCCGCAAUGGGCGAAAGCCUGACGGAGCAACGCCGCGUGAGUGAUGAAGGUCUUCGGAUCGUAAAACUCUGUUAUUAGGGAAGAACAAAUGUGUAAGUAACUAUGCACGUCUUGACGGUACCUAAUCAGAAAGCCACGGCUAACUACGUG
Molecule: ribosomal RNA, 497 nt
Filed under: uncultured bacterium
Lineage: Bacteria
Description: partial 16S ribosomal RNA
Rfam family: Bacterial small subunit ribosomal RNA
Source: RNAcentral